Long non-coding RNA from Alligator sinensis (Chinese alligator), 331 nucleotides. RefSeq lists it as uncharacterized. The transcript is spliced from 3 exons. The record is from RefSeq and is a predicted model, not a curated record. NCBI's taxonomy places the organism in Eukaryota, Metazoa, Chordata, Crocodylia, Alligatoridae.
UCAGGUUUUGAAAAAAAUAUCGACUUUGACUCAUCUCCAUCAACCCAGUGGAAAAAUGGGGUUGAGAAAAGGAAAAAAAGAAGCCUGCCCUGUUGCCUCCAAGGAUGAACCUGUUCUGUGGGUCAGGAUCCAUUCCAAGAGCUGCCCAGUUGGCAAGUGUGACAUGACAGGAUAGAGAUGAAGAUAUUCACAGGAGGUUGUGCCUUCCAUUUCUGUGGAGCCUCCACUCCCAAGGAAGAAGAUGGAAAAGACCAAAGCUUUUACCAUACAGGCCUGAGCAUUGCAUGCUUCUGCUACAGAAGAGGUUCAUGAGAUUUGUGUUACAAUGUAG